UACAGAGGGUGCAAGCGUUAAUCGGAAUUACUGGGCGUAAAGCGCACGCAGGCGGUUGGUUAAGUCAGAUGUGAAAGCCCCGGGCUCAACCUGGGAAUUGCAUUUGAAACUGGCCAACUAGAGUAUGUGAGAGGGGGGUAGAAUUCCAAGUGUAGCGGUGAAAUGCGUAGAGAUUUGGAGGAAUACCAGUGGCGAAGGCGGCCCCCUGGCACGAUACUGACGCUCAGGUGCGAAAGCGUGGGGAGCAAACAGG
This 253-nucleotide ribosomal RNA is filed under the name uncultured bacterium. RNAcentral describes it as "partial 16S ribosomal RNA". It matches the Rfam family "Bacterial small subunit ribosomal RNA", at positions 524 to 776 of the family's 1533-position model. The record is from RNAcentral.